Amblyraja radiata (thorny skate) is the source of this 1295-nucleotide long non-coding RNA. RefSeq lists it as uncharacterized. NCBI's taxonomy places the organism in Eukaryota, Metazoa, Chordata, Chondrichthyes, Rajiformes, Rajidae. The transcript has 4 exons. The record is from RefSeq and is a predicted model, not a curated record.
GCGCGCGCGCGGCCAACGGUCCCUGUGCGGGGCGGGAGCGCGCGUCACCAACAUUGUCUUUAAGCAGAGAGCCAGAAGAUAGACACAAAAUGCUGGAGGGUGAGGCAAGAUCUCUGGAGACACAAAAACCUGGAUUAACUGCAUGAUUAUUGAUAUGUUAUUCAUUUGCCUGAUGAAACUGAUGAUGGUAAAGCUGACAUUUACUGCGUGACUCUCAUUGCACUUGAGAAGAUUGCCACUUCAAAAAUGUAAUCAGUUAUCAAACAAGACAAGACAAAAUGGCACCUUCAUUGUGUUUUUUGUAAAUUAGAUAUUUCACAAUGUGAAAAUUUGAGACAGUUCUGUAAAAUGCCGAUAUUAAUUUGGCAGCUGUUGUAUAAAUAACCAUAAACGCAUGAUCUUUUCAUAAAGAUUUAUGUGGACAAUGUGAUAUGUUGACUUUUACUUUAGAUGCUGGAUCCUUUGAAUAAAAAACUAACCACUAGAGGAACUCAGCAGGUCAGGCAGCAUCUUUGGAGGUGAAAUGAACAUUGGGUUUAGGCUACCUAAGUGAAAUAUGAGGCGCUGUUCUUCUAGCUUAUGUGUGGCCCCAUUCCGGCUGGGGAGGACAGACGGGUCGAUAUGAGAAUGGGAAGUAGAAUUAAAUAGGAAACAACUGGGAAAUUCCUUUUGCAUAGAUCUCAUAUGCACGAGUCGCUAUAUUUUGGAGCCAUUUACUAAAUGUCCAAAGGCGGGUCCACAUGCUUGAAUUACUGGAGCAGCUCCUGAUCGAGUUAACCUUCAGGCUGCCGCAGAGCCUCCGCCAACGCCCUUGACUGUCUGAACCAAUGUCCCUCUCUUCACCCGAUCGUCUUUGUGUCCUGGGGGCACUGGUGGCAAUACCAUGGUCCCUCUCCUACCGGCCCACUCCUCAUGUCCGUCGUUGCUAACAUCUCCCUCCUCCUCGAAUCUCCAGCCUUUAGGGCUGAGCUCAGCACCAUCCGAGCUCCGCAGCGGCUGCGGCCCACCGGAUCUUUCUUCGCAGUGACAAGCUAUGCGUGCCGUCGCACAUGGCUGUAUGGGCUCAGCAGCAUCCCCCUACAUGCUGCUGGUCCCUGCAGCCCACCAGGUCCUCAUCCGGCUGUGUGGCAUCCCGGGAGGCUUACUCUAAAUCAAGUUCAGACCUUAAAAAUGAAAGGUUUUGGUCAGAUUUAUUUAAAAAAAGUAAGUUAAUGGGUAGUUUGCUUCCUGGCACAGGUGAUCACAAAUUUAAUUUUUAAGCUGUCACUUCAAUAAACAAAGUUAUUAUUUCUGGA